This 492-nucleotide ribosomal RNA is filed under the name uncultured bacterium. RNAcentral's name for it is "partial 16S ribosomal RNA". It matches the Rfam family "Bacterial small subunit ribosomal RNA", at positions 29 to 507 of the family's 1533-position model. The record is from RNAcentral.
AGUGAACGCUGGCGGUAGGCCUAACACAUGCAAGUCGAACGGCAGCACAGUAAGAGCUUGCUCUUACGGGUGGCGAGUGGCGGACGGGUGAGGAAUACAUCGGAAUCUACUUUUUCGUGGGGGAUAACGUAGGGAAACUUACGCUAAUACCGCAUACGACCUACGGGUGAAAGCAGGGGAUCUUUGGACCUUGCGCUAUUGAAUGAGCCGAUGUCGGAUUAGCUAGUUGGCUGGGUAAAGGCCCACCAAGGCGACGAUCCGUAGCUGGUCUGAGAGGAUGAUCAGCCACACUGGAACUGAGACACGGUCCAGACUCCGACGGGAGGCAGCAGUGGGGAAUAUUGGACAAUGGGCGAAAGCCUGAUCCAGCAAUACCGCGUGGGUGAAGAAGGCCUUCGGGUUGUAAAGCCCUUUUGUUGGGAAAGAAAAGCAGCAGGUUAAUACCCCGCUGUUCUGACGGUACCCAAAGAAUAAGCACCGGCUAACUUCGUG